UUCUCGUCUCUGUAUUUCCUAAUUUUCAUCUAUACGAAUGUAGUUUCUGUUGGAAAUUUUGAAUCCAAAUUUUUGGCGAUUUUCUGAUUUCUUAUUAGUUUGUUGUGAAUAUUUUUACUCGCAUGUUCUACCUUUAGAUGCCUCGGGACUAAUUAAAAUUCAAUAGGGAACUCUGUUAGUUUCAUUUGAUCAUGAUUCUAAAUUUCAAGAUGGAGCCUGUUAUAUUGAGAUUUUAGGAGUUCGUUUUCAUUUGUUAUCAGAGAAUGUUAAGCUUUGCUCAUUAUUGGAGAUGCUGAAUUGAAGAAAUUGUGGCUUUGUUAUACCACAAAAGACAUAUGCUCUCAUGCACGAUGGUGCCCAGAAUUUUUUGCCCUUUCUUCACUGGUAUUACACCCAUUACUUCUGAAUUCUUUGAAUAUUUGUGCCUUUUUGCUUUAAUUUUAGUUUUUUAGUCUUUCAGAUAAUCUCCUGCUAGAUAUAUACAUUAUGCCUGAGUUGCACAACAUCCCAUUUAGUGUCUUUUCCCCACUUUUUUAUCUUAUUAUCUGCUCUUUAAGUUUGCAACUCAUUCUACUUAAUCCUAAGAUACUUGCAAUACUGCGGAGGAUACAGCUUUUUGUAACUGAACCAUCUGUUCACUUCUAUAAUAUAGAAAAGAACGUUCUUCUUCGCUUUUGUGUUGCGGUCCAUGAAGGCAAAUGGAUAAAAGCUCAAAUCUUUGCAAAAAAACUUGUUGCUUGGGUUUUCAGGUUUGUUGAUGUCGCCUGCCAAAUUGCCUAUGAAUUCUUGUAGAGAAGACUAGAAGUGCACAUGUUUGCAAGUUCUCAAAUUAGCUAUUUGAAUUGGAUGCUUAGUUCAUCAAAGUCGACAGUUGGAAGAGUAUUUGAUGUGGUGUAUAUUACGGAGAGCGUCAUUUGGAGUACACCUAAUAUGAAUCCCAAUAUACUUGGAAUCUACAAUGAUCCUGGAAAAUAAAGCUUACAUCUAUAUUACUGUCUGCUAUGAUAAGACCAUAGAAGAAUGACACAACAACACUUAAAGUGAGAAUAAUCGAUUGAAGUAAUAGCAUGUGUUCGACACUUUUUUUUAAUAACCAUCACUUGGAGAAACAGGUGAACUAAAAAUACUAUUUCUGUAAUUUUUCACUACUUUCUUCAUUUUUCGUCCCCGCACCCCAAAAAAGUCCUACUAUCAACCAGAGGAGGUAAGUUAUAUAGCCCGUUUUAAAGGUUAUAACAUUAGUUUCAAAGUUAUUACAUUUAUUUUUUUCCUUAACUUGAUAAUGCAAAAUGUAUAUUUCUAUGCACAAGCCAACGCAAUAUAUAGGAGAUAAAAGAAGAAAGGGAGUGUUCUGGAUCUCUGUUGUUUCUUGACAAACUUAUAUGUGAUCUUCAUUAUCAAGUGCUUUUAACAUUGUUGAAAAGGGAAAGAUGUCUCUAAAAGUAGUAGCAUAGUCCUCAUGACCAUCCACCAACAGGCUGCACAAAGCUGGUCUGUGAGGUGCAAAAUCCGCUUUUCUUAGCAAUAGCUGGGAGAACUACAACAACCUUGUAAGAAAGGUUGAUCUUUUUUUCUCGAUUUUCAACUAAUGUGACUUUUUCAGUUAUGUGUAUUGCUUUUUCUGGUUAUAAGAUAUUUAAAUAUGUUCUUCAUAAAAAGGUCAGUGAUUUAUCUGCCUUUUGUUGAUCCAAAAGAACAAGAAAUUGCUUACGUUUGUUCAAAAAGUUGAUGGAGAAUGUGGUCCCUAAUUUUUUUUAAGAAGAGUCUCUACUUGAGAGGGAUUACCGACCUUUGAUUUUGCUCGAUUUCAUAGCCAUAUUUUACUUCUUAAGUUCUCUAGGCUUUAUACAUUUUUCAUUUUAUUUUGACGUUUUUGGAUAAUAUUUAUUCAUAUUGAAUUUUUCUCUUCAUGUUUUAUUGGUAGACUUUAUACUUGCAUUUUGAAUGUGUGUUCAAAUGCUUUUAUGAGAUCUGAAUCUGAAGGAAGAACUUUACACAACCAAGGUGUUUGAUGAAAUCUCCCCAUAACAACCUACUUAUGAGAUAUGAGUAUUCAGAAUCUUUUCGUUGGGCAGUUUUUCAAUUGCUUUUUUCCCUUCUCAGUGUGUAAUCUUGAGCUUAACGUUGUCUAAUACUCAUAUUUUUAGAUGUAAUUGAGGAUUCUCAGAAUAACUCUUGGGAUUUUCUCUUUUGCUAAUUUGGAGAAUAACAACAGAUAUGUCUAUUAUGUCUGCUUCUCUUCUUCCCCCACUUUGGACUAAAGACAUAUUAUUAAAAUCCUUAUUUAGUCAAAGCAGUUAUAAUGAUACUAAAUAAUAAUAAUAAUAAUAAAAUGGCAAAUUAAAUAAGGUAACUAAUAGUUGGACUUUGCUUAAAGGCCAUAAGUUCCUACUAAGUAAUAGGAUGUUGUAUGUGAACUUUUCCCCUCUGCUUCCAAUAUCUGCUCUGUCUUUUUUACUGUCUAAAAUUUUAAACAGCUAAAGCUUCAUUUUUUUGGUUAACUAAUUGUAUAUGGUCUUUCCUCUUUGUUCCAAAAUAAAUCAUUGGAAGUGUAUUUUUGUACAUGUUUUGUUCUUUAUUUUUUACUUUUACUAUCUUUCUUUUUGCAAUUUUGGAGAUGCCAAUUGAUAGGUAUGAUUUAAAAUUUGGGAAGUGAAAUGCUAUUACACUGUCGUAUUAUUCUGAAGAGCUAUUACAUUACGACAUUAUUCAUGAACUUACAAAUAAUUUCUCUUAUGUUUAUUUUCUUCUGGUGUUUGAUUGUCUUGUGAUUUUGUGAUGACCGCUUUAUAAUCCAGGUUCAGAUAUUAGCUAUUAGAAAAUCAGAAAGCCAGGUCUUCUAAAGUAAGAAAAGAAACAUUUUAUACAAAAAUAAUAAAGAACGUUGUUCGUAUGGUGAGACAUGGUCUUUCUGAAAAUCUUGAUCUUUUAGCCCAGUUAGUACAACAAUGUCACAAGAAAGAGUGCUCAAGAUGUGAGACUCUUCCUCAAUUUUCAUACAAGCCCUAUAACAACUGAUUGGCUUUUACUAGCUUUUUGAAGAUGCAUACGACAAUGCCUUCACGAAACUUCUUGAUGUAGCGUAUGCUAGACCUCGAUAAGAAUUUUUCAAUGCGUGUCUCAGACAAGACACUCAAGUUCUUCCAGCGGAAUCCAAGCUCCUUUAAUUUGCUGGACACACUUGAUAGCCAUUUGGGUGAGAACAUUGCUAUGGCACCCCACCAGUCUGAUCCGACGUGUUUGCAGUUGAGAGCCACAACACUCUGGCAUGUUUGGCAGAAAACGUUGGCCAUUAUAAGCACGGAAAUUGUUCCGAUACUUCCGAGAUUCUAAUUGUUCUGAAUUAGGAGAAUUUGUGGGAUACUACUCUGAAUUAGAUGUGUCCAGUUUUCCUGGUAGAGGACAAGACAAUAUGACAUGCUAGUAAAGUUCGUUGCCGUGUUUGAGGAGCUGGUCACGAUUUGGCGCAAUAAUCUGCAGGUAACUUGAUUUCAUAGUUUUUUUCUGAACCGCUUUGUUCAUGGUACUGUAAUUCUUCAGUGUACUGAUUGCAUUGCAACAUUAGCAUGGGCACUCAAAGUUGUCAAUUUUGCCGUGCAUGGUUUUGUGUAAAUAGAUGGACCUUGUCUAUGAUUGAAAGUGAAAUUUCAUUACUUUCUACAGAAGCUAAA
Long non-coding RNA from Solanum tuberosum (potato), 3671 nucleotides. RefSeq lists it as uncharacterized. The transcript has 5 exons. Lineage: Eukaryota; Viridiplantae; Streptophyta; Magnoliopsida; Solanales; Solanaceae. The record is from RefSeq and is a predicted model, not a curated record.